Hemicordylus capensis (graceful crag lizard) is the source of this 148-nucleotide small nucleolar RNA. RefSeq annotates it as small nucleolar RNA SNORA79. The transcript has a single exon. The record is from RefSeq and is a predicted model, not a curated record. NCBI's taxonomy places the organism in Eukaryota, Metazoa, Chordata, Lepidosauria, Squamata, Cordylidae.
UGAUGACCGUUCCUCUCACUGCCUCAAGCCUAGGUAGUGGGAUUUUGUGUCAUCAAAUAUUAAAGGUGGCCUUUCUUCACUCAGGGUGUUUCUGGAUGGAUUUGGCCAUCCUGUGGCACUUUACUGAAUUUUGCGGGGUCACACAUUC